This 241-nucleotide unclassified non-coding RNA is filed under the name Persicaria neofiliformis. Its description in RNAcentral is "ITS1". Lineage: Eukaryota; Viridiplantae; Streptophyta; Magnoliopsida; Caryophyllales; Polygonaceae. The record is from RNAcentral.
UCGAAACCUGCAAGAGCAGAAAGACCCGCGAACCCGUUUACAAACACCGGGGGGACGAUGUUCGGCAAAAAACCGACGCCGUCCCCCGAGAUCGGCGAGAGCCCGCCUCCCUGCGAGUCGGGCUCCUCCCGGCACCAACAAACCCCGGCGCGGAUUGCGCCAAGGACCAUGAACAAUAGCGCGUCCCAUGCCACUCGGUUGCCCGAAGUGCGCGUGGGGCGACGUGUCGUUUCGAUACAUU